Molecule: small nucleolar RNA, 133 nt
Organism: Neltuma alba
Lineage: Eukaryota; Viridiplantae; Streptophyta; Magnoliopsida; Fabales; Fabaceae
Product: small nucleolar RNA U19
Exons: 1
Source: RefSeq, a predicted model, not a curated record
UGGUGGUUUAGUUAUGAGGCACACAUGAACCGGGUCCGAAUCAUCCGUUUUGGAUGUUUGGACCCUUUAGAGGCCUUUUGAAGGGGCUCUGUUUUUCUCUCCUCAGAUGCCCCUCAAGCAGCCUUUAACAUUC